CCCAAACAGGUGUUGAGUACUUCAUAUCUAAUCCUCCCCACCUCCACUCCCAGCAGCCCUAAGGCGACUGGUCCAGGCCUCUUCCCCAGCUAUUCGCAUGUGACUUCCAUCCUCGUGGUUUGCAAGAUGGUUGCUGUAACUCCAAGAGUUGUGAACACGCUCCGGACAGAAGAAGGAGGGAGGAGGAAAGAAGGAGAAGAGCCAGUAUUGGGAAAAUGGAAGCUUUCCUCAGAAAUCCCCCAUGGACUUCCGCUUCUGUCUCAUUGGCCAGAACGGGGUCAUGUGACGACUGGCUGUGAAGAGGUCUGGGAAGGUUCAUGUUUUCAGCUGAGUAUAUUGUAGGGCUGAACAAAAUUGGGGUUUUGUGGUGAGAAGGAAGUAGAGAUUAGAAUGGGGGAAUAACUAGCCGUUCUGGCAUGUGUCACGGUCUACUUCUUUAUUUCUUCUAACUUUAGAACCAGACAAAUAGGUGAAUAAA
RNAcentral lists this long non-coding RNA (478 nucleotides) under Equus caballus (horse). RNAcentral describes it as "lncRNA (ENSECAG00000059473.1)". The record is from RNAcentral. Lineage: Eukaryota; Metazoa; Chordata; Mammalia; Perissodactyla; Equidae.